Molecule: RNA transcript, 1035 nt
Organism: Tripterygium wilfordii
Lineage: Eukaryota; Viridiplantae; Streptophyta; Magnoliopsida; Celastrales; Celastraceae
Gene name: SWR1 complex subunit 6
Exons: 6
Source: RefSeq, a predicted model, not a curated record
ACAGGUUUCCGCUAAGCGCUAGUUGCAUUGGGCGGCAGAACAGGAAACCUAACAAGGGAUCGUCCAGCUCCAGCUCUUAUUCAGUGCUUUGGAAUUUUUUUUUUUGAAAUAUUAGACGUUGAUUGCAAGAUUUGAUAUUUAUUCUUAGUUCAAAUUUCCUUAGUUUGCAACUAUGGAGGAGGAGUCAAAUUCAUCGCGGCGAAUGUCCACCCGAACACGUAAGGUUGCUUCAAAAAUGGCUGCAGCGCUCGGGAGCAGCGACAAUCGAACACAGGCGGCAAUUGCUCGCCUUGAAGCCUUGGAGAAUGACAACGCGGUGAUGGAGGCAGUAGAUGUCAAUGAUGAUGACGAGGCAUCACUAGACGAGGAUGAUCAAGGAUAUUUGCAAAAGAGGCACGCCAAGGGCACAAUGCGUAAAACCAGGCAGGCGAAAGCACUCGAGGCUAGGAAGGCCCCGAGAUCUUUUCUUGAGCUUUUGCAUGAGGCUAACCUGGAGUCUCUACCCCCACAUGUUCCAUCUUAUAUAAGGGCAGCUGUGGGACCUCCAAGUUCUACCUCCCGCCGCUAUUUCUGCACCGUUUGUGGAUAUGCCGCAAGCUAUACUUGUGUGACAUGUGGGAUGCGCUUCUGUUGUAUCCGUUGCCAGAUUGUACAUAAUGACACUCGUUGUCUGAAAUUUGUUGCCUAAUUGAUGCUUAGACAUUCAGAAGAAAAAAUGAGUAGUACAGGGGGACUGUUUCGUGCAAAAGAAAACAAAGUUAUAAAACCAGCGUCCAAGCUUCCAGACUAGCUGCAUUAAUAUAAGAGGGAUUACAAUUUUAUCCUGUCCUGCAGAAGUUGAAGAUCAACUAAUUUCGGCUCUCCAGUCGCUUGGCUUGUGAGCCACGUCAUUGAUGAUCUUAACAGCGAGGCAGAUUGAGUGGUGGAGGCUGCACGGUCUGCAGUUUCCCAACUCCAUUCUCAACUAGAAAAGCCAUAGCCAAACCCCAGCCAAGAUGGGCAUCUAUAUGACAGUGCAUUAGCCACACACCUGUU